Molecule: ribosomal RNA, 468 nt
Filed under: uncultured bacterium
Lineage: Bacteria
Description: partial 16S ribosomal RNA
Rfam family: Bacterial small subunit ribosomal RNA
Source: RNAcentral
GACGAACGCUGGCGGCGUGCUUAACACAUGCAAGUCGAACGGAAAGGCCCUGCUUUUGUGGGGUGCUCGAGUGGCGAACGGGUGAGUAACACGUGAGUAACCUGCCCUUGACUUUGGGAUAACUUCAGGAAACUGGGGCUAAUACCGGAUAGGAGCUCCUGCUGCAUGGUGGGGGUUGGAAAGUUUCGGCGGUUGGGGAUGGACUCGCGGCUUAUCAGCUUGUUGGUGGGGUAGUGGCUUACCAAGGCUUGGACGGGUAGCCGGCCGGAGAGGGUGACCGGCCACAUUGGGACUGAGAUACGGCCCAGCCUCCUACGGAAGGCAGCAGUGGGGAAUAUUGCACAAUGGGCGGAAGCCUGAUGCAGCAACGCCGCGUGCGAGAUGCCGGCCUUCGGGUUGUAAACCGCUUUCGCCUGUGACGAAGCGUGAGUGACGGUAAUGGGUAAAGAAGCACCGGCUAACUACGUG